GACUGGGGCGGUACACCUGUCAAAGCAUAACACAGGUGUCCUAAGGCGAGCUCAGGGAGGCCAGAAACCUCCAGUGGAGCAGAAGGGCAAAAGCUCGCUUGACCUUGAUUGCACUACCUUAUUAACAGAAGG
This 132-nucleotide non-coding RNA is filed under the name Meleagris gallopavo (turkey). RNAcentral describes it as "Eukaryotic large subunit ribosomal RNA". It matches the Rfam family "Eukaryotic large subunit ribosomal RNA", at positions 2623 to 2750 of the family's 3401-position model. Lineage: Eukaryota; Metazoa; Chordata; Aves; Galliformes; Phasianidae. The record is from Rfam by way of RNAcentral.